CAGCUUGGGAAGGUGGACAGCACUUUUGUGCAGAGAGAAAGAAACUUUGUCCUCCAGACAGAAGCAGCCCUGUGCCAGAGCGCACGGUUCCAAGGGAGUAUGGGCAGGAUUUCAGCACCCUCCCUCUCUCAGAGGUGGUUACUUGAUCCAACAGAAAGAUGGAUUUAGCUGAAUUCGGCAAGUUUACCAAAAGAUUGUAGACCCCACGAGUGUGCGGCAUUGUUUCACUGAGGGAUUUAUUACAUCUAUCGAUAGAAGCCCUGCCAGGUGCUGAGAAUGAGCAAGUUGGCAACACCGUGUACCUAGAAGAGUGCCCCUGUGAUUAGACAUCUCCAUCUCUGGAAAGGGGAGGAAAGCCCUCCGUCUUCACGUUAACUGAGCUUCAGAAGCCCAUGACAAGU
Eubalaena glacialis (North Atlantic right whale) is the source of this 401-nucleotide long non-coding RNA. RefSeq lists it as uncharacterized. The transcript has 3 exons. The record is from RefSeq and is a predicted model, not a curated record. Lineage: Eukaryota; Metazoa; Chordata; Mammalia; Artiodactyla; Balaenidae.